RNAcentral lists this unclassified non-coding RNA (353 nucleotides) under soil metagenome. RNAcentral's name for it is "partial contains 5.8S ribosomal RNA, internal transcribed spacer 2, and large subunit ribosomal RNA". The stretch from base 1 to 120 matches the Rfam family "5.8S ribosomal RNA", at positions 35 to 154 of the family's 154-position model. The record is from RNAcentral.
GAUGAAGAACGUAGCGAAAUGCGAUAAGUAAUGUGAAUUGCAGAAUUCAGUGAAUCAUCGAAUCUUUGAACGCACAUUGCGCCCGCCAGUAUUCUGGCGGGCAUGCCUGUUCGAGCGUCAUUACAACCCUCAGGCCCCCGGGCCUGGCGUUGGGGAUCGGCGGAAGCCCCCUGCGGGCACAACGCCGUCCCCCAAAUACAGUGGCGGUCCCGCCGCAGCUUCCAUUGCGUAGUAGCUAACACCUCGCAACUGGAGAGCGGCGCGGCCACGCCGUAAAACACCCAACUUCUGAAUAUUGACCUCGAAUCAGGUAGGAAUACCCGCUGAACUUAAGCAUAUCAAUAAGCGGAGGA